GAUUGAAGCUUCGAGAAUUGAAAAACAAGCGGAGAUUCCGAGUCCCAGAAAAGGAAUUGAUGAUAGAGGGGUUGGGUUUCUUGAAUUGGGUAGAGAAGCAGAGGAGACAGUGAAAGAAAAGUUCGAGUUGGAAAAGGGAAUUGUGCCGAGGAAGAAGCAAAUGGUGAAAAGAUCGAAUUUGAUUGCGAAGCAAGUGAUCAGUAUUCAGUCUGCUCUCAGCUUGGGCUUUGUGUCGCAGCUUUGGGUUGACAUAAAUUCUUGGAUUGUUUUCCUAGUUGAAGUGAGGCCAAACUUACUUUCUGGUGAAGGGGAAAAGUUUCUGCUGGAGGAUGUCAAACAGGUAGGAGAUGUUGUGCUUGUUGGAGAUGAGAGUGUGAUGGAAAAUGAAUUCAAGCUUAUUGGACUGCAGACAUUGGUGGGGUACAACGUUGUAACGCCACGUCAACGGAAUGUUGGGAAGGUUCGUGGCUAUACUUUCAAUAUUAACUCAGGGGCAGUAGAAUCUCUCGAGCUUGAUUCCUUGGGAAUAUCCAUAAUACCGUCCACCUUGGUCAGCACCUACGGUUUAUUUGUUGAGGAUGUGGUUGAUGUUUUAUCUGAUACCAUCGUUGUUCAUGAAGCUGCAGCCUCACGCCUACAGAGACUUACUAAGGGAUUAUGGGAUGCCCAGAACAUGUCUUACUCUGCAGAUGAAAUGCAAGAUCAUAGCAACUUAAGAAACACACGUGCUAAGCCGGAGUAUAGCAGAAGUCGUAAAAGAUCUUCAGGAAAAAAGUUAAGGAAGAAACUGAAAGAACUUGCUGAUGAUUGGGACCUUCCAAUGGAUUUCUUUUAAUCUGCUGCAUUUCUCCACAAUGUACAUCACAAGUUCCCAUUUUGGUAUAUGUUGUUAGAGAGAGUCUGUUUUGGUACGUUGUGUCAAAAUAAUUGCCUCUUUGGCACCAGACUUGUUAUCUGUACAGUGUCUAACACAGUCUCUGAGUUCAUA
RNAcentral lists this unclassified non-coding RNA (988 nucleotides) under Hevea brasiliensis (rubber tree). Lineage: Eukaryota; Viridiplantae; Streptophyta; Magnoliopsida; Malpighiales; Euphorbiaceae. The record is from RNAcentral.